This 644-nucleotide long non-coding RNA is filed under the name Equus caballus (horse). RNAcentral describes it as "lncRNA (ENSECAG00000054267.1)". The record is from RNAcentral. Lineage: Eukaryota; Metazoa; Chordata; Mammalia; Perissodactyla; Equidae.
AGGAAAAGAAUAACACCACGAUGGAGAAUCCUGGCACACACUACCUUAGCCAGGUGCUAAACAUCAAGAGGUAUAAGUCAUGUUGUAUCAUGAGAGUGAAAUCAUUUACUUGUCUGGCUGAUCUCUGGCAGUUCAGAUGUUGAAGGCAUUGCUGACCCUUCCCUCUGGUUGAGGCAGCAUAACAUCAGAGAGCAAAUUUCUCAUGACUCCUACGGUCUAAGAAGAUGGUCCAGCUGACCGUGCCAACUCUCAAAUGCUAUCUGGGAUGCCACCACUGCCCACAUCACUGAUUCAUGAGUUCAUCUUUGGCAAGACAGCCACAGAAUUACAUUUCUACGGAGAACUGAUAACUUCGUGAGGGGAGAAGGUUAGCCUGUCACAGGGUGAAUAUCAUACAACAUAAAGCCCAAAUGCUAUCACGGUAUAAAAAGUCAUCAAGUAUUUUACAAAAUGAGGUUCUUGCUGCUUGGAUUCCAUCAGGCAGCAAUUUGUACUCUGAUUACCUAAAGUUGCUUGUCUGUCUCACAGCAUUUGCCUGCCUGUAGUUUAUCAGUUUUCCUCUAAAGGGGAUUUAAUAUUCUGUCAAUUUCCCCAUUGUUUAUGGCACUGUUUUUGCAGAUAGUAUCUGAAAAUAAACAAAAAAU